Molecule: long non-coding RNA, 743 nt
Filed under: Homo sapiens (human)
Lineage: Eukaryota; Metazoa; Chordata; Mammalia; Primates; Hominidae
Description: non-protein coding lnc-PIK3C3-6:1
Source: RNAcentral
UAUAAACAAGAGUUGUAAAUAUUGGUACCUGAAACAAACGUAUGGCUUAAAUGUAACAAGAAAAACUUCAGAUGCAUACUUGCUGGGACUAGAUAAAAAGACAGUGGCUGAAGUGAGGACAAAGGAGUGUAAUCUUGUGGAUAGCAGAGGGUGGGACUGAGGAACCAUGAGAUACACUGUGGUAAAAACCAUUAGAACUGGGAAGCUUCAUGAAAGCUGGAUCAGUAUAAGUGGUGUCUUUCAUCGAUGUCUGGUGAGACCAAUUGCUGAUAACGGUUAGUGUGUUGUUUGUUUCAGUUGAAAUAGUCUAACCUGCAUUGUAUGAUUCUACCUUACCCUGGUGCAAUGUAUGCCUUGUGAACAGCCUUCCUUUUUUUUUUUUUUUUUUUUUUUUCUGUUGUUGUUGUUGUUGGAUUGGGCAUUUAUUUCUCAGCAUUUCCCCGACAGGAUAUUUAAUUGAGACUUAAGACUUAAUCAGGAUAACAAGAAAGGUAGUUAUGGAAUAGAAGUAGAGGGGAAGUAUGAGGAUGUUUAGAGGUUGAAUAUUACCCAACAGGGAUGAGUGUGGAUAAAGCACUAAACAAGGUGGCUUAGUAACAUUGAAGCCUUGGAUUGUUGGGAUAUGUGUCACCAAGAGAGGAGAGAAGACCACUGUUAUUUUGAUCAGUGUUAUUUCUACCUGAACUAUGAAACUACCAAAACUUACUGAGAUGUAAUAGAAAGAAUCUCAGAUAGAAAGUUAA